GACGAACGCUGGCGGCGUGCCUAAUACAUGCAAGUCGAACGAGAGCGACCGGUGCUUGCACUGGUCAAUCUAGUGGCGAACGGGUGAGUAACACGUGGGUAACCUGCCCAUCAGAGGGGGAUAACAUUCGGAAACGGAUGCUAAAACCGCAUAGGUCUUCGAACCGCAUGGUUUGAAGAGGAAAAGAGGCGCAAGCUUCUGCUGAUGGAUGGACCCGCGGUGCAUUAGCUAGUUGGUGAGGUAACGGCUCACCAAGGCCGUGAUGCAUAGCCGACCUGAGAGGGUGAUCGGCGACAUUGGGACUGAGACACGGCCCAAACUCCUACAGGAGGCAGCGGUAGGGAAUCUUCCGCGAUGGACGCAAGUCUGACGGAGCAACGCCGCGUGAGUGAAGAAGGUUUUCGGAUCGUAAAACUCUGUUGUUAGAGAAGAACAAGUGCUAGAGUAACUGUUAGCGCCUUGACGGUAUCUAGCCAGAAAGCCACGGCUAACUACGUG
This 498-nucleotide ribosomal RNA is filed under the name uncultured bacterium. Its description in RNAcentral is "partial 16S ribosomal RNA". It matches the Rfam family "Bacterial small subunit ribosomal RNA", at positions 28 to 507 of the family's 1533-position model. The record is from RNAcentral.